GAUUUCUGAGGAACCGAAGUGGCCCGUUUCCUUUACGGUGAUGAGUGCCGCUUUAAGUUCUUCAUCCUUCCAGAGAGCGCGUCUACCGUUUAUUCGGCCGGACGUUGCGAUCUGGAUCUAUUACUUUGAAAAAAUUAGAGUGUUUAAAGCAAGCUUAUGCAUUUGAAUACAUUAGCAUGGAAUAAUAAUUUAGGACUUUGGUUCUAUUUUGUUGGUUUCUAGGACUGAAGUAAUGAUUGAUAGGGAUAGUUGGGGGUGCUAGUAUUCCACGGCCAGAGGUGAAAUUCUUGGAUUCGUGGAAGACUAACUACUGCGAAAGCAUU
RNAcentral lists this ribosomal RNA (323 nucleotides) under uncultured Euglypha. Its description in RNAcentral is "SSU rRNA". It matches the Rfam family "Eukaryotic small subunit ribosomal RNA", at positions 657 to 955 of the family's 1831-position model. The record is from RNAcentral. Lineage: Eukaryota; Cercozoa; Imbricatea; Euglyphida; Euglyphidae.